UCAUCCAGAGGUACCUCGGGGAUCGGUCGCGGGGCCCCAAAUCAACCGCCAACCUUGCGUUGUUAAUGAAAUGCCCUCGGACUCUUUGUCUCUCUGACUUCAAAUCAAUCCGCAUAAAUAGGCGCACCACAGACGGGGGCUACGCCCGCCUCUCCUAACACGUCUGGACCCACGCCCGUUAAGUGAGCGCGUUGCGGACUGUCCAUCGCAUCGUGGCUGUGGGGCCAUGCGAUGCGUGCUGUGUGAGAACCACGACGGCUCGGUCACAUCAACGGUGCUGGCGUCGAGUGCGGCGCAUGGGCCUUCACGGCUCAGCUCGCUUGCGUGCAGAGACGAUGCAAGAAAAAAACCGAGGGAUAUGUGAAUUGCGUAUGGCAGCCCCCCCUCCCGUCCCCCAUCUGUCAGAUAUGUAAUACAUUUUUAACCAUGUUUGGUAAAAUUCCAACAAAAUCCGUGCCCAAUAUGUGUGUGACAGUCAUGUUUGGUGUUUAGUACUAACCACUGCUGUGCCACCGCUCUACACCCCAUAUGGUUAUACAUGACGUCAAAUGAUUUCACGUGUUGAGACAAUUCCACAACUCAUUCAACAGCGUUCGUGGAUAAUUCCAUUCAACAAAAACAAUUCGUUUCAAUCACCACCAAAAAGGUUCACACAUUUAUACAUUUCGUGAAAUACCAACAUGUAUAAAUGUACGGUUGUCUGAUGCGUCUUCGGGUCGUACCGUGCGUUUUACGGCACGCUGCCUGACGUGAAACACCACUUGCAGGAGAUUUUUGCAGGGAAUUCAGUUCCUGAAGUAAGUGGACAAUCUUUGGAUAAAUUGUGUCCCUUAAUGCAGUGCUCGAGAAGACGCUCAGCACGUGGAGAAUUUUUUUUCAAUAACAUUUGUUUUUGUCCAAGUCAGGUCCACUGAGCUAGAAAGCUCUUUAUCAGAAGCGAGCUGCCCACGAAUGAUAACCCAACAAAGUGGCUUAUCAUGUGGAAGUUUUAGCAGCCAAAUAUUCUAAAAACCGCGUAUUUAUAAACGUGGAGGGAAAAACCAGAAGUCCCGGAGAAUAAUCCACGCAACCACGGGGAGAACAUGCAAACUAAAAAAAUAUACAGCCGUCAGUGGUCAGGAUCCAACCCACGACUUCCUGCAUACCAGGCAAGGUAGUUAACAUCUCGCCACCGUAUUCUGAACAACACCACACGGUACAGCCUCAAAGGUCAUUAUCAGAGAGCCGUAACGCAUGAUCGCGACACGCUACACAGUCCACUUAGAUUUACAUGCGCUUUUUCUCAAAUGAGAGCAGCUGCGAUGAUUAAUCUCGCUGAUAAUGGGCGGUGCAAUCCCCAUUCAUCUUGUAAGCAGCGCCAUGUUAAAACAAGAGUUAUUAAUUAAGCCUAAAAUAAUUAAUCCGAAGUUUAACUAUUGCACGGCUGAGCUAUACAGUGAGCUCCACCACUUCUUCCGUACGAUGAGAAAAGCUUACAACGUGAAAGUCUCAUUUGAUGAUCCACUCAAUGGUUUCCUGAAAUCCUCAGCGGAGAAAUCGAGUGCCUCCCGCAACCGACCUUUAGUGGGCAGGUUGGUUUGGUAUGUUCCACGAUCUAGGAC
This is a long non-coding RNA of Lethenteron reissneri (Far Eastern brook lamprey), 1601 nucleotides long. RefSeq lists it as uncharacterized. NCBI's taxonomy places the organism in Eukaryota, Metazoa, Chordata, Hyperoartia, Petromyzontiformes, Petromyzontidae. The record is from RefSeq and is a predicted model, not a curated record.